This 1501-nucleotide ribosomal RNA is filed under the name Klebsiella pneumoniae. RNAcentral describes it as "16S ribosomal RNA". It matches the Rfam family "Bacterial small subunit ribosomal RNA". The record is from RNAcentral. Lineage: Bacteria; Pseudomonadati; Pseudomonadota; Gammaproteobacteria; Enterobacterales; Enterobacteriaceae.
UUGAGAGUUUGAUCCUGUUCAGAUUAACGCUGCGCAGCCUAACACAUGCAAGUCGAGCGGUUAGCACAGAGAGCUUGCUCUCGGGUGACGUANCCGCGGACGGGUGAGUAAUGUCUGGGAAACUGCCUGUAUGGAGGGGGAUAACUACUGGAAACGGUAGCUAAUACCGCAUAACGUCGCAAGACCAAAGUGGGGGACCUUCGGGCCUCAUGCCAUCAGAUGUGCCCAGAUGGGAUUAGCUAGUAGGUGGGGUAACGGCUCACCUAGGCGACGAUCCCUAGCUGGUCUGAGAGGAUGACCAGCCACACUGGAACUGAGACACGGUCCAGACUCCUACGGGAGGCAGCAGUGGGGAAUAUUGCACAAUGGGCGCAAGCCUGAUGCAGCCAUGCCGCGUGUGUGAAGAAGGCCUUCGGGUUGUAAAGCACUUUCAGCGGGGAGGAAGGCUAAGGUUAAUAACCUUGGCGAUUGACGUUACCCGCAGAAGAAGCACCGGCUAACUCCGUGCCAGCAGCCGCGGUAAUACGGAGGGUGCAAGCGUUAAUCGGAAUUACUGGGCGUAAAGCGCACGCAGGCGGUCUGUCAAGUCGGAUGUGAAAUCCCCGGGCUCAACCUGGGAACUGCAUUCGAAACUGGCAGGCUAGAGUCUUGUAGAGGGGGGUAGAAUUCCAGGUGUAGCGGUGAAAUGCGUAGAGAUUCUGGAGGAAUACCGGUGGCGAAGGCGGCCCCCCUGGACAAGACUGACGCUCAGGUGCGAAAGCGUGGGGAGCAACAGGAUUAGAUACCCUGGUAGUCCACGCCGUAAACGAUGUCGAUUUGGAGGUUGUGCCCUUGAGGCGUGGCUUCCGGAGCUAAACGCGUUAAAUCCACCGCCUGGGGAGUACGGCCGCAAGGUUAAAACUCAAAUGAAUUGACGGGGGCCCGCACAAGCGGUGGAGCAUGUGGUUUAAUUCGAUGCAACGCGAAGAACCUUACCUGGUCUUGACAUCCACAGAACUUUCCAGAGAUGGAUUGGUGCCUUCGGGAACUGUGAGACAGGUGCUGCAUGGCUGUCGUCAGCUCGUGUUGUGAAAUGUUGGGUUAAGUCCCGCAACGAGCGCAACCCUUAUCCUUUGUUGCCAGCGGUUCGGCCGGGAACUCAAAGGAGACUGCCAGUGAUAAACUGGAGGAAGGUGGGGAUGACGUCAAGUCAUCAUGGCCCUUACGACCAGGGCUACACACGUGCUACAAUGGCAUAUACAAAGAGAAGCGACCUCGCGAGAGCAAGCGGACCUCAUAAAGUAUGUCGUAGUCCGGAUUGGAGUCUGCAACUCGACUCCAUGAAGUCGGAAUCGCUAGUAAUCGUAGAUCAGAAUGCUACGGUGAAUACGUUCCCGGGCCUUGUACACACCGCCCGUCACACCAUGGGAGUGGGUUGCAAAAGAAGUAGGUAGCUUAACCUUCGGGAGGGCGCUUACCACUUUAUCCGAUUCAUGACUGGGGGUGAAGUCGUACAAGGUAG